GACAGAGGUGCCGAGCGUUAGGCGGAAUCACUGGGCUUAAAGCGUGUGUAGGCGGAUUUUUAAGUACCUUGUGAAAUCCCACGGCUUAACCGUGGAACUGCUGGGUAUACUGGAUAUCUUGAGCCAACUAGGGGCUACCGGAACAAAUGGUGGAGCGGUGAAAUGCGUAGAUAUCGCUUGGAACGCCGAAGGUGAAAACAGGUUGCUGGGGAUGUGCCGACGCUGAGACACGAAAGCCAGGGGAGCAAACGGG
Molecule: ribosomal RNA, 253 nt
Filed under: uncultured bacterium
Lineage: Bacteria
Description: partial 16S ribosomal RNA
Rfam family: Bacterial small subunit ribosomal RNA
Source: RNAcentral